Long non-coding RNA from Oncorhynchus tshawytscha (Chinook salmon), 447 nucleotides. The record is from Ensembl. Lineage: Eukaryota; Metazoa; Chordata; Actinopteri; Salmoniformes; Salmonidae.
GUCAGGAGUAAGGUUGAGACAGGUUUUAACAUAAGGCAAGAGCUGGGGUCAGGGUUGUGGUAGAGGCUGGGGUCAGGUUUGUGGCAGAGGCUGUGGUCAGGUUUGUGGUAGAGGCUGGGGUCAGGGUUGUAGUAGAGGCUGGGGUCAGGGUUGUAGUAGAGGCUGGGGUCAGGGUUGUAGUAGAGGCUGGGGUCAGGUUUGUAGUAGAGGCUGGGGUUAGGGUUGUAGUAGCGGCUGGGGUCAGGGUUGUGGUAGGUUCUGGGGUCAGGGUUGUGGUAGAGACUGGGGUUAGGAUUGUGGUAAAGGCUGGGGUUAGGGUUGUAGUAGAGACUGGGGUUAGGAUUGUGGUAAAGGCUAGGGUUAGGGUUGUGGUAGAAGGUGGGGUCAGGGUUGUGGUAGCGGCUGGGGUCAGGGUUGUGGUAGCGGCUGGGGUUAGGGUUGUAGUAG